GUAGGUGGCAAGCGUUGUCCGGGAAUUAUUGGGCGUAAAGCGCGCGCAGGCGGUUCUUUAAGGCUGAUGUGAAAGCCCACGGGCUCAACCGUGGAGGGUCAUUGGAAACUGGAGAACUUGAGUACAGAAGAGGAAAGCGGAAUUCCACGUGUAGCGGUGAAAUGCGUAGAGAUGUGGAGGAACACCAGUGGCGAAGGCGGCUUUCUGGUCUGUAACUGACGCUGAGGCGCGAAAGCGUGGGGAGCAAACAGGAUUAGAUACCCUGGUAGUCCACGCCGUAAACGAUGAGUGCUAAGUGUUAGGGGGGUUUCCGCCCCUUAGUGCUGCAGCUAACGCAUUAAGCACUCCGCCUGGGGAGUACGGCCGCAAAGGCUGA
Molecule: ribosomal RNA, 376 nt
Filed under: uncultured organism
Description: partial 16S ribosomal RNA
Rfam family: Bacterial small subunit ribosomal RNA
Source: RNAcentral